CGCGGCCUAUCAGCUUGUUGGUGGGGUAAUGGCCUACCAAGGCGACGACGGGUAGCCGGCCUGAGAGGGCGACCGGCCACACUGGGACUGAGACACGGCCCAGACUCCUACGGGAGGCAGCAGUGGGGAAUAUUGCACAAUGGGCGAAAGCCUGAUGCAGCGACGCCGCGUGAGGGAUGACGGCCUUCGGGUUGUAAACCUCUUUCAGCAGGGACGAAGCGUAAGUGACGGUACCUGCAGAAGAAGCGCCGGCCGACUACGUGCCAGCAGCCGCGGUAAGACGUAGGGCGCGAGCGUUGUCCGGAUUUAUUGGGCGUAAAGAGCUCGUAGGCGGCUUGUCGCGUCGACUGUGAAAACCCGCAGCUCAACUGCGGGCCUGCAGUCGAUACGGGCAGGCUAGAGUUCGGUAGGGGAGACUGGAAUUCCUGGUGUAGCGGUGGAAUGCGCAGAUAUCAGGAGGAACACCGGUGGCGAAGGCGGGUCUCUGGGCCGAUACUGACGCUGAGGAGCGAAAGCGUGGGGAGCGAACAGGAUUAGAUACCCUGGUAGUCCACGCUGUAAACGUUGGGCGCUAGGUGUGGGGGACCUCUCCGGCUCUCUGUGCCGCAGCUAACGCAUUAAGCGCCCCGCCUGGGGAGUACGG
RNAcentral lists this ribosomal RNA (643 nucleotides) under uncultured bacterium. RNAcentral's name for it is "bacterial SSU rRNA". It matches the Rfam family "Bacterial small subunit ribosomal RNA", at positions 232 to 885 of the family's 1533-position model. The record is from RNAcentral.